AUUAUUCGCUAUUCAGACGCGAGACGUUCAAAUCACGCGCCACGUUCAAACGUGGGUCACGUGGCUCGGCGCACAUCGGCCAUCAUGGUAUCAGGCGUCUGCUUUUCUGCGUCGUUGCGUUACAUCUGCGCUGCUUGCAUUGUCUGUCAGAUAUCGAGUUCGCGAUCAUUUAUGAAUUCAGUCAAUGUUUGUGGCUAGGACUUGGAACCAAUCAAUCUCUUGCAUUGACAUAUUUAUCAACGUUGCAAGGUUAGAACGUGGUUAGAACGUAUUUUAAAUCUCAAUAUCGUCCUUAGCGUCAGACUUGGAAAUUAUAUCUGCUACUAAACACCAAGUGAAGUAUUCGUCGCUCCGUGCUGUCAAAAUUUAUUCUUCUAGAAAUGCUUACCCUGCACCGAUCAAUCUUUUCGCUUUUUACGCUACGAACGGGUGGAAAACAGCAACGGUAUUUUUCAUCGUUCUCUGCGAUGAAAGACCCGCACCACGGAUGGAUCGACGGAAAGAUAUUUAAGUCUCCGAUAGCCAGCGUACCAGCCCCUAACCUCACUUCGCCUGUCUCUUCGUUAAUAUCUGACGAGGCAAGAAUGAUUUGUGACAAUCAGUGGUUUCUUAAUAUUUUCGAAGUUUACAAUUUUUACUUGAAUAUUGCUACUAAGGACCGUUCUGAUAUCGUAACACGGUGCUUGAAGCAAAGUUACCUGAGCAACCAAGUGAAAAUCAAGUAGUGCUAAUUAGCUGUUCGCAUUGUGUCUUGGCAAAUUUCAUCGGAAGACAAACUUCUGGCUUCAGAAUAAGAACUGCUUUGACUGAUGUGUGAGAUAUAAAUAAACACACCAUGUUGUGUCAUCUGAGAUUGGAGUUGUCAAGUGACGUAUGUGAAGGAUUGUAGUCAGCCGCUGAGGUAAUUAGAACAAAAAAUGAAUGAAUGUAUGAAGAUAAGCAAGCACAAGUAGUCGUACAUCGUCACAACCAUGGGCUCGUAGGAAACUAGUGCGAAUGUGAUAAUAUGCUUACUGCAGUGAAAGAAUUCUGUCUUCGUACAAGUAACGUAAAUAUAGACCAACCUGGAAGCUAUUAAUGAAAAUUCUUGUUUGACCGGUGGUAUUAUCAAACAAGAAACUGAAUUCGAUCAUUGCUGUCCUCAAAUAGCCAUGUUAUCAAUACUGGUAACCCCUCCUUUUCAAGAUAUCAAUCAGCAUCAAGUGGAGUUGACUGAAGUUGGGAUUAUCGGAAUGGAGAGAAAAACCAAGUAACUCCAACCUCCGAACGAAAUUUGCUGAAAAUAAAAUGGCUUUUGACAGCUUAGAUUGAUUACCACGAGCCGAUAUUAAAGAAUGUAUCACAGAUGAAAUCAGCCACUUGAGAUUGUGAUCUUGUUUUCCAUCACACAUCUAGUAGAUUGGACAUCAAAAUGCUUACAUAUAAAAUCCAACGGCACAAAAUAAUACUUGACAAAGAUUUCGUAGCAAAUCACAAAAUAUCAGUUAAGCUUGAAUUUAACUCGAUAAUUAACUUUAGAAGAGCAAUCAGAUAUUUAAGUAGGCACUUGAGAAAUACCCGUCAUCCCGAAUCGUACACAAAUGUAUAUUAAUAUCUAAUUGCCACUUUGAUAUAAGUACUUUAUGCGAAGAACUAUGUAUGUUCUGUUCUUUAUUGCGUUGUAUAUACGUUUUACAAAUUUGUUUAUCAUGUUGUAAACUCGGUCCAUUCUAUUACUUAUCUCGGUAAUUCCAAUGCAAUCAUUCCGUGUUAACUCAUUGUCAGGCCCCAUUGUUGACAAAUUACUGUCAAGUAAGGCUACACGUAUUUUUAUUUAUGACAUUAGCAAAGUUACUCAAUGUGCUCAUAUAUUUUUCGUCAACCAUGAUAUGUGCCGUGACGUCAAAUAUGAAGCUCAAACACUUCUAUUCGCAAUAAAGGCAUGUGUAUACUGCGUAUGCAUGCAUUUUAUAUGUUAUUAGCAUUAUUAUUAUUAUUAUUAUUAGCAAACCGCCAAUUAGCUUAUAUUCUGAUUAUAGUCUUGUGACUUACACAGUGUAGUACUUUCUUUCUUUCUUUAUUACAUCGAGUUACAAUGAAGUGCAACUUUUCUUUUCGAGUAUUCAAUUAUUUAUAUUCAUAGGCACGGGUGAAUACAAAAAAAUGCGAAUUCGCUGCAUUGCAAAAAGUUAGACCUACCUUCACCUAGGUCUUGAAUUUUCAAAUCUUUACCUGAUUUAUAAAUUUGAAUCCCCGACAUGCCGGACAAUCGUUGACACCACAGACUUUACCUAAAAAAAUUCAGCAAUAUGAGUACGAAGAUAUGCUGAAUUUAAAUAAAUUUUUCUUCAUCAAAAACGAAUGGAUAAACGUCGUAAUUCAAUUCUUGAAUAUUCAAAAGUGGCUUGUCCUAAUUUAAGAAUAUCUUGCUAUGAAUCAGUGAUAAAAAUAAUCUAACAAUCCAAUCAACAGUUGAUAUGCUUUCCCAUGACAACUACGUGAUUUUAUAUAAUUCUUUAGCCGGUAUAGAAUCCAUUGAAGAUUUUGGGAUAAAAAAAGUGUUACCUACUAGUGGUAAGAGUUUUAACUAAUAAGUGAGAGAAACACAUUACCUUUUUGUUUUUCUCAAAUUAUACAAAUAUUGAGGUAAAAAAAAAACUGUGUACAAUUUUUAGAAUUUUAUUGUUACCUACAAUUUACCGUGCCUUAAUGUACGCCCAAUUUGACAAAAACGAUGACACCUCCAUUUUCUAUCCUAAUCAUGUGUGCCUAUGAAUAAAACUUGCAUUACCACGGUCUUUCAGUGCAGACCAGUAUUCAAAAAAAAUUUGA
RNAcentral lists this long non-coding RNA (2811 nucleotides) under Neodiprion lecontei (redheaded pine sawfly). Its description in RNAcentral is "uncharacterized LOC124295136, transcript variant X6". Lineage: Eukaryota; Metazoa; Arthropoda; Insecta; Hymenoptera; Diprionidae. The record is from RNAcentral.